This 468-nucleotide ribosomal RNA is filed under the name uncultured bacterium. RNAcentral describes it as "partial 16S ribosomal RNA". It matches the Rfam family "Bacterial small subunit ribosomal RNA", at positions 28 to 507 of the family's 1533-position model. The record is from RNAcentral.
GACGAACGCUGGCGGCGUGCUUAACACAUGCAAGUCGAACGGACAGGCCCUGCUUUUGUUGGGUGCUCGAGUGGCGAACGGGGGAGUAACACGUGAGUAACCUGCCCUUGACUUUGUGAUAACUUCAGGAAACUGGGGCUAAUACCGGGUAUGAUCUCCUGCUGCAUGGUGUGGGUUGGAAAGUUUCGGCGUUGGUGGCUCGACUCGCUGGUUAUCAGCUUGUUGGUGGGGUAGUGGCUUACCAAGGGUUUGACGGGUAGCCGGCCUGAGAGGGUGAACGGCCACAUUGGGCCUACGAUAGGGCCCAGAAUCCUACGGGCGGCAGAAGUGGAGAAUAUUGCGCAAUGGGCGGAAGCCUGAUGCAGAAACGCCGCGUGCGGGAUGACGGCCUUCGGGUUGUAAACAGCUUUCGACUGUGACGAAGCGUGAUUGACGGUAAUGGGUAAAGAAGCACCGGCUAACUACGUG